Molecule: ribosomal RNA, 400 nt
Filed under: phytoplankton environmental sample
Lineage: Eukaryota
Description: partial small subunit ribosomal RNA
Rfam family: Eukaryotic small subunit ribosomal RNA
Source: RNAcentral
AGCUCCAAUAGCGUAUAUUAAAGUUGCUGCAGUUAAAAAGCUCGUAGUUGGAUUUGUGGCGCGGUCGUCCGGCGGGGCUUCCGGUUUCAUAGUAUCCCGGGGCCGUUUGUCUGGGUUCUUGGCCGCCCCAUUCUUCGGUUGCGUGUCGCUGGCAUUAGGUUGUCGGCUUCUUCGCGCCGAUCGUUUACUGUGAAAAAAUUAGAGUGUUCAAGGCAGGCUCGCGCCUGAAUACAUUAGCAUGGAAUAAUGGAAAAGGACCUCGGUCCUAUUUUGUUGGUUUCUGGGGCCGAAGUAAUGAUUAAGAGGGACAGUUGGGGGCAUUCGUAUUUAAUUGUCAGAGGUGAAAUUCUCGGAUUUAUGAAAGACGAACGACUGCGAAAGCAUUUGCCAAGGAUGUUUU